RNAcentral lists this ribosomal RNA (440 nucleotides) under uncultured bacterium. RNAcentral describes it as "partial 16S ribosomal RNA". It matches the Rfam family "Bacterial small subunit ribosomal RNA", at positions 338 to 795 of the family's 1533-position model. The record is from RNAcentral.
CCUACGGGUGGCAGCAGUGGGGAAUAUUGCACAAUGGGGGAAACCCUGAUGCAGCAACGCCGCGUGAGUGAAGAAGUAUCUCGGUAUGUAAAGCUCUAUCAGCAGGGAAGAAAAUGACGGUACCUGACUAAGAAGCCCCGGCUAACUACGUGCCAGCAGCCGCGGUAAUACGUAGGGGGCAAGCGUUACCCGGAUUUACUGGGUGUAAAGGGAGCGUAGACGGUGUGGCAAGUCUGAAGUGAAAGUCCGGGGCUCAACCCCGGGACUGCUUUGGAAACUGUCAUGCUGGAGUGCUGGAGAGGUAAGCGGAAUGCGUGGUGUAGCGGUGAAAUGCGUAGAUAUUAGGAGGAACACCGGUGGCGAAGGCAGCCUGCUGGACGACAACUGACGGUGAGGCGCGAAAGCGUGGGGAGCAAACAGGAUUAGAUACCCUUGUAGUC